RNAcentral lists this ribosomal RNA (839 nucleotides) under uncultured bacterium. RNAcentral describes it as "bacterial SSU rRNA". It matches the Rfam family "Bacterial small subunit ribosomal RNA", at positions 66 to 905 of the family's 1533-position model. The record is from RNAcentral.
ACGGUAGAGGGGGCAACCCCUUGAGAGUGGCGAACGGGUGAGUAAUGUAUCGGAACGUGCCCAGUCGUGGGGGAUAACGUAGUGAAAAUUACGCUAAUACCGCAUACGAUCUAUGGAUGAAAGCGGGGGAUCGCAAGACCUCGCGCGAUUGGAGCGGCCGAUAUCAGAUUAGGUAGUUGGUGGGGUAAAGGCUCACCAAGCCAACGAUCUGUAGCUGGUCUGAGAGGACGACCAGCCACACUGGAACUGAGACACGGUCCAGACUCCUACGGGAGGCAGCAGUGGGGAAUUUUGGACAAUGGACGCAAGUCUGAUCCAGCCAUUCCGCGUGCAGGACGAAGGCCUUCGGGUUGUAAACUGCUUUUGUACGGAACGAAAAAGCUCUCAUUAAUACUAGGAGUCCAUGACGGUACCGUAAGAAUAAGCACCGGCUAACUACGUGCCAGCAGCCGCGGUAAUACGUAGGGUGCAAGCGUUAACCGGAAUUACUGGGCGUAAAGCGUGCGCAGGCGGUUAUAUAAGACAGAUGUGAAAUCCCCGAGCUUAACUUGGGAACUGCAUUUGUGACUGUAUAGCUAGAAUACGGCAGAGGGGGAUGGAAUUCCGCGUGUAGCAGUGAAAUGCGUAGAUAUGCGGAGGAACACCGAUGGCGAAGGCAAUCCCCUGGGCCUGUACUGACGCUCAUGCACGAAAGCGUGGGGAGCAAACAGGAUUAGAUACCCUGGUAGUCCACGCCCUAAACGAUGUCAACUGGUUGUUGGGUCUUCACUGACUCAGUAACGAAGCUAACGCGUGAAGUUGACCGCCUGGGGAGUACGGCCGCAAGGUUGAAACUCAAA